Molecule: non-coding RNA, 896 nt
Organism: Peromyscus maniculatus bairdii (prairie deer mouse)
Lineage: Eukaryota; Metazoa; Chordata; Mammalia; Rodentia; Cricetidae
Source: RefSeq, a predicted model, not a curated record
AGGAGUUCUAACCUACAAAAAAAACUUGGACUAAACUCAUGCCUUUGGGUUUCCCAGGACAACUGACCCCGGCGCGCGGUGGCUCUCCGGGUCACUCCACCCCCUGUUCAUUCCCAGGAAUGGAUCCGCCCAGGGCCUGAACCAAGUGACCGCUUAGCCAGGAGGGCUCCCGCACCCCAGGAGACCUGUGCGGCCACCUGCUGCUCCGGCCAAAGUUGAUAGGACCGCGCUCCCUGAAAACAGAGACCCUCUGGGGUAUUCCACCUGCCGAGAGGGGCCGGCCCUGCCGCGCACCUGUUCGCCGCCGGUCCACACCCCUGUCCCCGGCGCCGAUGGACCCGCCUAGGUCAGGCUUCCGGAAGUUCUGAUACUUAAAGGCGCUGAGCCGAGACUGGAGACGGGGAGACCUGUUUCGGUUCAAAGGUUCCCAGGCCGUCACCUGCACCCGGGGCGCGGCCAGAGGCUCUCGCCCUUCUCAGCGUUACUCUGCUACCUCCUGGUGGCGCCGAGGAGAAACGCAUCCUAGGAAAUUGUGAACUGGCCAUUGCCUGGUGGGUUGGGAACCCUAUCAUUUUAUUGUGUGUGUUGUAAAACUUGUGUCAGGUCACAUGCUUCCUCUCAGAAAUCUCCCAUAGUUCCUCCUUACUCCCAAGCAAAAUUCAAAUACUCAUACUGGCCUGAUUGUCCCUCCCCAACGUCACUUUGCGCCCUUCGCUUAGUUGACGUCAACCACACUGGCCUGGUUGGUCCUGAAUCAGACUUUCACACAUGUCUGGUUUCGCUACCAGAAUUCCCUUCCUGCUGCGGACGCCUCAUCCCAUUUUCCUUAGGGCCUCAUUCAAAGGCAAAGGCUUCUCAUAAAAUUUCACCCUGCUCAUGAGCCAUCAUGCUUUUUU